Molecule: long non-coding RNA, 1036 nt
Filed under: Cricetulus griseus (Chinese hamster)
Lineage: Eukaryota; Metazoa; Chordata; Mammalia; Rodentia; Cricetidae
Description: lncRNA (ENSCGRG00015032199.1)
Source: RNAcentral
AGAGUUCACAUUUUUUUCCUGACCAUCAGUCAGUGUGUGAUGUUUUCAUGAGGAAUCUGGAUGAACUUGGCUGGAAAGACUGGGAGGAGCCCUGUGGACUCCAGCAAGCAGAAUGUGCAGCAGGUAGUGAGUGCCGCUCAGGAGACUGUCGUCCAAGUAAACUGCAGAGGAAAUUAUUUCUUAGUUCUGUACAAAAGGAGGCUCUUGGCUCAGUGUGCCUGCAUUCCAAAGCUGAGGAGAGAAGAAAGUGAUUAGUUUUGGAAUGCUGGAUUCACUGUGGUUUGCAGCUCUGGGGUGCUGUGCAGCAGCAGGUGACAAGAAAAACAGAAAGUGAGCAUUCAGAACUGGAGUCUACAGAAAAGCAAACAUCAGGAUUCAGAGACUUGGAGACAGGGUUUCUCUGUGUAGCUUUGGAGCCUAUCCUAGCACUCGCUCUGGAGACCAGGGUGGCCUCGAACUCACAGAGAUCCACCUGCCUCUGCCUCCCAAGUGCUGGGAUUAAAGGCAUGCACCACCACCGCCCUACAGGAAUCUUACUUUUAUAAGAAUAUAUACAAAGAUGCUGACAGGAGCUAGACAAAGAAUAGCCCUCAUCCAGUGGCUAAUGGAAACAGAGUCAGACACCCACAGCUAUACACUGAACUGAACUCUGGAAUCCAGUUGCAGAGAGGGAGGAAUGAAGAUAAAAGCAGUUGGGACCAGGCUGGUGAAUCCCACAGAAACAACUGGCUUGAACAAGGGAGAACACAAGGACCCCAGACUGCUGUCUGGGAGGCCAGCAAGGGACUGUUCCAGACACCUGAACAUGGGUGUUAAUGAGGAGGCCUCAGCACUCUAUGGACCCCCUGGUAGUGGAUCAGUAUUUUUCCCUGGUGUAAGAAGGGACUUUGAGAGCCCAUCCCACGUGAAGGGAUAUUCUAGGCCUGAACCCAUCCUAGGCCCUCUCCAAGAUGAUGUGGUGCACUUUGGGAUCCCCCAUGGAGGGCCCUACCCUCCCUGGGAAUUGGAGCAGGGGUGGUAUGGGGGGCUGGUCGGG